Molecule: ribosomal RNA, 468 nt
Filed under: uncultured bacterium
Lineage: Bacteria
Description: partial 16S ribosomal RNA
Rfam family: Bacterial small subunit ribosomal RNA
Source: RNAcentral
GACGAACGCUGGCGGCGUGCUUAACACAUGCAAGUCGAACGGAAAGGCCCUGCGUUUGUGGGGUGCUCGAGUGGCGAACGGGUGAGUGACACGUGAGUAACCUGCCCUUGACUUUGGGAUAACUUCAGGAAACUGGGGCUAAUACCGGAUAGGAUAUCCUGCAGCAUGGUGGGGAGUGGAAAUUUUCGGCGGUUGGGGAUGGACUCGCGGCUUAUCAGCUAGUUGGUGGGGUAGUGGCUGACCAAGGCUUUGACGGGUAGCCGGCCUGAGAGGGUGACCGGCCACAUUGGGACUGAGAUACGGCCCAGACUCCUACGGGAGGCAGCAGUGGGGAAUCUUGCACAAUGGGCGGAAGCCUGAUGCAGCAACGCCGCGUGCGGGAUGACGGCCUUCGGGUUGUAAACCGCUUUCGCCUGUGACGAAGCGUGAGUGACGGUAAUGGGUAAAGAAGCACCGGCUAACUACGUG